UACAGAGGGUGCGAGCGUUAAUCGGAGUUACUGGGCGUAAAGGGUGCGUAGGCGGUUGAGUGAGUGUGAUGUGAAAGCCCCGGGCUUAACCUGGGAAGUGCAUCGCAAACGACUCAACUGGAGUAGAUGAGAGGGUGAUGGAAUUUCCGGUGUAGCGGUGAAAUGCGUAGAGAUCGGAAGGAACGUCGAUGGCGAAGGCAGUCACCUGGCAUCAUACUGACGCUGAGGCACGAAAGCGUGGGGAGCGAACAGGAUUAGAUACCCUGGUAGUCCACGCUGUAAACGAUGAUGACUAGAUGUUGGUAGGGGAACCUAUCGGUAUCGAAGCUAACGCGAUAAGUCAUCCGCCUGGGAAGUACGGCCGCAAGGUUGAA
RNAcentral lists this ribosomal RNA (374 nucleotides) under uncultured bacterium. RNAcentral describes it as "bacterial SSU rRNA". It matches the Rfam family "Bacterial small subunit ribosomal RNA", at positions 524 to 898 of the family's 1533-position model. The record is from RNAcentral.